RNAcentral lists this non-coding RNA (21 nucleotides) under Caenorhabditis elegans. The record is from RNAcentral. Lineage: Eukaryota; Metazoa; Nematoda; Chromadorea; Rhabditida; Rhabditidae.
UGAAAAGAAGCUGAAAAUUUU